AAGUGUUUAGGAGGUCACUCUACUCUCUACUGUUCACAUGUCACAUAAAACAAUAUUGUCAUUCAUCUAAAACAAUCAAAAUCUUCACAUGCAAAUGCCAUCACAAGGACUUUUCCCAAGGCUUGUAAUGAGGCUGGGCUAUCAAGAAAAAUUGGUUUUUCUGGAAUACAAAAUCAUUGGAGUUAAAAGAGUUUAAAUCAUUAUUCAAAGUUCAAGCACACUCUCUUUUCAUCCAAUCUUACUCAUUCCCAACUUUUUUCCCUUUUUCUUUUUAUAUUGAGUUCACUUUACAUCCUUUUUCUCUUUUCUUCUUUUCUUUUUCUUUCUCAUGCAUUUUUUUCUUUUUCACUUUUGAACUCAAUGUUUUUCUUUUUCUUUUGCCUUUCACUUUCCCCAUACAACCCCAAACUUGAACCUUUUAAACACAUAUAAUUCUUCUCAACCC
Molecule: long non-coding RNA, 445 nt
Filed under: Vigna radiata
Lineage: Eukaryota; Viridiplantae; Streptophyta; Magnoliopsida; Fabales; Fabaceae
Description: long non-coding RNA (VRAD_LNC006725)
Source: RNAcentral